AUUGAACGCUGGCGGCAUGCUUUACACAUGCAAGUCGAACGGCAGCGGGGAGGAGCUUGCUUCUCUGCCGGCGAGUGGCGAACGGGUGAGUAAUACAUCGGAACGUGUCGAGAAGAGGGGGAUAACCACCCGAAAGGGUGGCUAAUACCGCAGAAAUGCUGAGGAAGAAAGCUGGGGACCUAGGAAUAGGCCUAGCGCUUUUUGAGCGGCCGAUGUCGGAUUAGCUAGUUGGUGAGGUAAAGGCUCACCAAGGCGAAGAUCUGUAGCGGCUCUGAGAGGAUGAUCCGCCACACUGGGACUGAGACACGGCCCAGACUCCUACGGGAGGCCGCAGUGGGGAAUUUUGGACAAAGGGGGCAACCCUGAUCCAGCCAUGCCGCGUGUAUGAAGAAGGCCUUAGGGUUGUAAAGUACUUUUGUUAGGGAAGAAAAGUCAGCUGUGAAUAAUGGCUGAUACUGACGGUACCUAAAGAAUAAGCACCGGCUACCUACGUG
This 494-nucleotide ribosomal RNA is filed under the name uncultured bacterium. Its description in RNAcentral is "partial 16S ribosomal RNA". It matches the Rfam family "Bacterial small subunit ribosomal RNA", at positions 30 to 507 of the family's 1533-position model. The record is from RNAcentral.